AAAGAUAAGACUUUAUAUAAAUAGAAUGAAAAAAGAUGAUGGGUCAUGGAUCGAAGAUGAAGAUGACAUUGUUCGAGAGGCUAUUCAAUUCUUUGAAAAAUAGUUCACUAAAGAUAAUACCAAUAGAGAUUAUUCUAUCCUUAAUAUUAUUCCUAAGUGUAUAGAUGUGGAUGACAACAGAAAGAUUAUUGCUUUCGUCACUA
Molecule: long non-coding RNA, 203 nt
Filed under: Capsicum annuum
Lineage: Eukaryota; Viridiplantae; Streptophyta; Magnoliopsida; Solanales; Solanaceae
Description: long non-coding RNA (CANN_LNC006622)
Source: RNAcentral